Molecule: long non-coding RNA, 2666 nt
Filed under: Sus scrofa (pig)
Lineage: Eukaryota; Metazoa; Chordata; Mammalia; Artiodactyla; Suidae
Description: lncRNA (ENSSSCG00005011777.1)
Source: RNAcentral
UUUUUUUUUUUUUUUUCUUUUUUUCUUUCACAGCUGUGGCACAUGGAAGUUCCAGGGCUAGGGAUUGAACUGUAACUGCAGCUACCUACAUUGCAGCCACAGCAAUGCAGGAUCUGAGCCGCAUCUGUGACCUAUGCCACAGCUUGUGGCAAUGCCAGAUCGUUAACCCAUUAGCAAGGCCAGGGAUCGAACCUUCGUCCUCACAGACAUUAUGCUGGGUUCUUAACCCACUGGGCUGCAACAGGAACUCCCUAUCUGGGUCUUAAAUCCCUGUUCUUACCAUAUACCACACUGCCUUUCAAAAGGAAAAACUGGUUUCUUUUCUUUUUUCUUUUUUUUUUUUUUUUUUUUUUUUAGGGCUGCACCUGCAGCAUAUGGAAAAAAGAUAAAAAAGAUUUAAGAUAUGGGAUCAGGAGGACUUGGUGAUAGAUGCAGAGAGAGAGAGAACUACUUUGAGGGUGAAUUUCAGUCAUAUCUGUCUUGGGAAAUCAGAUGAUGUGUGAAAUGGGGAAUUCUGGAGCAAGAUGAGGUUUGGUGGGAUGGAGAGGCUUCUAACUUUGGCCUUGAACAUGUUGACUUGAGGUGCCUUUGGGAUUUCCAAAUGGUGCAGCUGAGCAGACAGCUGGAUAGACAGGUCUAAGACUGAGGAGGAACAUGGCCUGGAGAUAUAAAUGGAGGCGUCUUGGGGCAUCAAGAAGCUGUGAGUUGGGAAGAGGUCCCCUAGGGGGCAAAUAUAACUUGAAAAGUGGAUGGAUCAGGGAUCAAGCAGUGUAGAAUGCCAGCACUCAGAGGUACCAGCGUGUUUCAGGAGAAACACCUGAAAACAGCAGUAAGAAGGAAAAACACUAGGAGGUCCCAAGGUUGAGGUUGUGGCUCAACAGGUUAUGAACCCAACUAGCAUCCAUGAGGACGUGGGUUCAAUCCCUGCCUUGUUCAGUGGGUUGAGGAUCUGGCGUUGCUCUGAGCUGUGCUGUAGGUUGCAGAUGUGGCUUGGAUCCCAUGUUGCUGUGCCUGUGGCACAUGGGGAUUUGACCCCUAGACUGAGAACUUCCAAAUAUGCCUCAGGUGCAGCUAUUAAAAAAAAAAAAGAAGGAAGGACCCUAAUAUAAGAAAGGAAAUAUAUAUAUGUAUGUAUGACUGGGUUACUUUGCUGUACAGCAGAAAUUGGUUCAGUGCAAAUCAACUAUACUUUAAAUUAAAAAAAAAAAAGAAGAAGAAGGAAGGACCAGAAAGGCAGGAUGGAAACCAGAAAAAGAAUGGCAUUAAGGAAGCCAAGGGGAGGAAGGUUUCAUACCUUUAGAAAGGAGGGCGUGAGCAGCACUGCAAAGCUGUUGUGCUAUCAAGUAUGAUGAGAACUAUUGCUAUAAAACUCGCAAAAAGAUCUAGUGACACAGAACAACAUGGAAAUCAUGGAUGACCUCAGCAGGAGACAGGGGUGUGGACUGAUGGGGGCAAGGGCCCCCCCCCAGGACCAACUAAUGUUGUCUCCUAACAGGCAGGAGAGCAUCACAGUUGAGGAUGCAGGCUCUGGAGACAGACCAUCAAGGCUGAUGGUCUGGCUCCCUUACUCAGCGAUAGACCUAAAGGACAGUACUUAAUUUCUCUGGGGCUCGUCUGCAAAAGGUGAGUAAUAAUACCCACCUACUGGAUGGUUGGGGGGCUAAUAAAUAUAAACCACGUAGUACAGUGCCUGACAUAUUCGUUUUGCUUAAUAAAUGCUCAUCUUUUAUUAUUACUGCCACUCUCCUAACCAACUGAGUUGAUAUUUAUUGAGCAUCUGUCAGGCACUGUACUCGACUCUGGGAAAGAACAAUGUAAAGUUAUUACUGGUCCUCAUGGAAAUAAGCAAAAAGCUUCAGGAUGAAAUGUUUUCUGUUAAAUUGUGAUGAAUGCUAAGGCGAAAAAUACAGCAGGAAAGGGGGCUAGAGCAGUGGUCUAGAUGACCAUUUUUUAACAUCUGUCAAGAGAGGCCCAAGAGAGACAGUGGCGUUUGAGCAAAAACCUAAGAAAGCAAUGUAGUGAUUUAGGGACGAGCAUUUCAGGUUGGAGGAAAGGAAGAUACAAAGAUCCUGGGGGUAGGAGGAUGGGGAGGGAAGGCCUUGCGGUUGGGGCAGAGCCAGGGAGGAGGAGAGAGCAGGAAACAAAGUCAGAGACAGAAGUGGUUAUGAUGUGCUCUUUAGGCCCUGAUAAGGUCUGUGAACAGUGAUAGACAGAACACGGAGGGAGAACACGAGAGAAAAGAAUAAAGUCACUCAUGUCCAUCUAAGCAGGAGAGUAAAAGGAUAUUACGUUCAAUCAAAUCAUGGGGAGAGGAGAGAAGAGGAAGCAAGAGUCACCUGGAAUUUCAGUAUUUUUUCCCCCAUUUACCAAGAUGUAAUCAACAUACAGCACGGUGUACAUUUAGGGGUGCAGCAUGAUGACCUGACUCACACAUAAACAAAUCCCUGUCAUCUCACAGAGAUAACAAAAAAAGGAAAAACAGUCUUUUCCUUGUGAUGAGAACUCUUAGGACUUACUCUCUUAACCAAUUUUAGCGACACCAGCUGGAAGUGUUAACAGAGAGUCAUCACAUUGUAAGUUCAUCCUGGGAUUUAUUUAAAUCUUAUAAAUAGACAGUUUGUAACUUCUGACCAUCUUCAUUCAAUGCCCCCAUCUGCCACCUCCCA